Molecule: long non-coding RNA, 1026 nt
Organism: Lolium rigidum
Lineage: Eukaryota; Viridiplantae; Streptophyta; Magnoliopsida; Poales; Poaceae
Exons: 3
Source: RefSeq, a predicted model, not a curated record
CAAAAGUAUGAUCUGUAUGGAAUUGUAGAAUACUUGGGUAAUUCAUCCAAGGGUCACUACGUUUGUUACAUCCGUUCGUCAGAAACAGAUUGACAUCUCUUCAGUGAUGAUAAGACACAGUUUUGGACAGUAAAGCAUAUCUUCGGUUAUAUGUCAUCGUGGUUCUCUACCUUACUCGAGGAAAAGAACACUUUGUUGUUGGGUUAUUUGCAAGAAUUGGCACAAAAAGGUUUGAAUGAGGAUGGUGUUUCCAUUGAAAGUGACAAGGAUAGUUACAGCGGCAGGGGGAGUUGCAGUGGCAGUGACAAUGACAGUGAUGAACAAGAUGGUGCGGAAUAUUUCUCUAGUGGACCAGCAACGAGAAAUGAAGCCGAUCCUAGUUUGGUCGGCUUGUCGCAAGGAAAUGCAAAUGGCAGUAUAGAUAUACCUGAUAGAAACGGAGCGAGUUGCAGACUGGAUGGAGGACCAUCUGGGGAAACAACGAAAACACACCUCCCCUCCCAGAUCAAGCCUGUAAAAUGGAAAUGUCCCUGGGUUUGCUUUGCCAUUCAAUAAAAAUGAAAACGUCAGCCCAGGGAUCACACGAUGACAAGGAAAUGAGCCAUGCAGACUCCCAGGGAGGGUCAUCCCAAGAAAAUAAGGAAAGCUGCAGCUUACUUCAAUUGUCAUCACUUUAACAUGAAGAAGACUGUUGCCCUGAAAACUUAACAUUGCAUAAAGAUGAUGGGAAAAGAUGAUGAGAUGCGGGGCCCCUGUGAUUAACCUGAUGGAGAGGCACGCGCACGUGCUGCAACUUGCAGAUUAUGGGGUCGAGACUAGAGAAAGGAAGCAGAUGAGGCAACAGUCCGCAGCUGGGACGUCAGCAAAGCGGAAGAAGGGUGGCACUUAAAGUAAACUCUAAAGAGGAGCGUGCCGCAGUCGCGUCUCUAAUGUAUCAUGACAUUUUGUUUAUCCAGAUGUAUGUCAUCCUGUAUAAGACAAUUGCUAUGCUGAAAUUUAGCUAUAUAUGCAAACAAUAAUAUCUUC